Molecule: ribosomal RNA, 600 nt
Filed under: Triticum aestivum (bread wheat)
Lineage: Eukaryota; Viridiplantae; Streptophyta; Magnoliopsida; Poales; Poaceae
Description: partial small subunit ribosomal RNA
Source: RNAcentral
GUGUUCGGCGAUUUGCCUGCCUCGGCGAUGGACUCGGAUGACGAGGAAGCGCUCGCCGCGCUGCUGGAGGAGGAAGCCGAGGCCGACGUCCAGGAAGAAGAGCAUCUCAUGGUGCUCGCCGCCCUCGCCCAGCUGCUGGCGAGCAAUGAAAAGCCGCGGCGAGGUGGGUCGGCGCCGGGGCGGGUGAAAGCAAAGAACCGGCAUCGUCUCGAAGGCUACUGCAUGCUCUACUCCGACUACUUCGCCGAUGCUCCACUUCACGGCGAGAAAACAUUUCGGCGCCGUUAUCGGAUGAGCCGAAAGCUCUUCCUCAGGAUUGUGAAUUCCAUCCGGGAGUUCGACAACUACUUCAAGUGCAAGAUGGAUUGGACCGGCGCCCUUGGAUUCACCUCCAUCCAGAAGUGCACGACAGCGAUGAGGAUGCUUGCAUACGGACCUCCCGGUGAUUCACUCGACGACUAUGGGCGCAUGGCCGAGUCCACCAGCAUAGAGUGUUUCUACAAGUUCUGUCGGGCUGUGGUGGCAGUGUUUGGACCGCAAUACUUGAGAACACCCAGUGCGGAAGACACUGCUCGGAUCCUAGCACAGAAUACAGCAAGA